RNAcentral lists this unclassified non-coding RNA (253 nucleotides) under Rhodothermales bacterium. RNAcentral's name for it is "partial 16S ribosomal RNA". It matches the Rfam family "Bacterial small subunit ribosomal RNA", at positions 524 to 776 of the family's 1533-position model. The record is from RNAcentral. RNAcentral also lists the same sequence under 1 other name. Lineage: Bacteria; Pseudomonadati; Rhodothermota; Rhodothermia; Rhodothermales.
UACGGAGGGCCCAAGCGUUGUCCGGAAUUAUUGGGUGUAAAGGGUCCGCAGGCGGGACAGUAAGUCGGAGGUGAAAGCCCUCGGCUCAACCGAGGAAUUGCCUUCGAUACUGCUGUUCUUGAGUCCCGGAGAGGCCACCGGAAUUCGUGGUGUAGCGGUGAAAUGCGUAGAUAUCACGAGGAACACCAGAAGUGAAAACGGGUGGCUGGACGGGUACUGACGCUCAGGGACGAAAGCGUGGGGAGCAAACAGG